This is a long non-coding RNA of Phodopus roborovskii (desert hamster), 293 nucleotides long. RefSeq lists it as uncharacterized. The transcript is spliced from 2 exons. The record is from RefSeq and is a predicted model, not a curated record. Lineage: Eukaryota; Metazoa; Chordata; Mammalia; Rodentia; Cricetidae.
CUCACUGGCUGGAUGACCAGCCUCCGUAACUUUACUGGGUUCACCAAGGCCCUGGCGUGCUGCCUCACCUGCACGGGCAGCGUCUGCCCACCUGCAGAGAGCUGUGCAUCGUGACCAGCCGACCUGCUGUGAGGAAGGACAGUGCCUCACUGCGUACCCCAUGAUGGGACAGAUGCUCAUAAAAAACAAGUAAGAACUCAACUUUCAGUGCAUGUCUGGACAGAGCCAGCUUCGCUUGAAGAUUAUUGGGAAACAUUCCCAUUGGGACUAUUACAAGUUCUAGUCAUGUUUUU